UACCAGCACCCCGAGUGGUCGGGACGAUUAUUGGGCCUAAAGCAUCCGUAGCCGGUUUUACAAGUCCUCCGUUAAAUCCAGCUGCUUAACAGAUGGGCUGCGGAGGAUACUAUAAGGCUAGGAGGCGGAAGAGGCAAGCGGUACUCAGUGGGUAGGGGUAAAAUCCUCUGAUCCGUUGAAGACCACCAGUGGCGAAGGCGGCUUGCCAAUACGCGCUCGACGGUGAGGGAUGAAAGCUGGGGGAGCAAACCGG
Molecule: ribosomal RNA, 253 nt
Filed under: uncultured bacterium
Lineage: Bacteria
Description: partial 16S ribosomal RNA
Rfam family: Archaeal small subunit ribosomal RNA
Source: RNAcentral